AGUGAACGCUGGCGGUAGGCCUAACACAUGCAAGUCGAACGGCAGCACAGUAAGAGCUUGCUCUUACGGGUGGCGAGUGGCGGACGGGUGAGGAAUAUAUCGGAAUCUACUUUUUCGUGGGGGAUAACGUAGGGAAACUUACGCUAAUACCGCAUACGACCUACGGGUGAAAGCAGGGGAUCUUCGGACCUUGCGCGAUUGAAUGAGCCGAUGUCGGAUUAGCUAGUUGGCGGGGUAAAGGCCCACCAAGGCGACGAUCCGUAGCUGGUCUGAGAGGAUGAUCAGCCACACUGGAACUGAGACACGGUCCAGACUCCUACGGGAGGCAGCAGUGGGGAAUAUUGGACAAUGGGCGCAAGCCUGAUCCAGCCAUACCGCGUGGGUGAAGAAGGCCUUCGGGUUGUAAAGCCCUUUUGUUGGGAAAGAAAAGCAGCAGGUUAAUACCCCGCUGUUCCGACGGUACCCAAAGAAUAAGCACCGGCUAACUUCGUG
This 492-nucleotide ribosomal RNA is filed under the name uncultured bacterium. RNAcentral's name for it is "partial 16S ribosomal RNA". It matches the Rfam family "Bacterial small subunit ribosomal RNA", at positions 29 to 507 of the family's 1533-position model. The record is from RNAcentral.